UAAUAGCUUGCUCUUAUGAAGUUAGCGGCGGACGGGUGAGUAACACGUGGGUAACCUGCCCAUAAGACUGGGAUAACUCCGGGAAACCGGGGCUAAUACCGGAUAACAUUUUGAACCGCAUGGUUCGAAAUUGAAAGGCGGCUUCGGCUGUCACUUAUGGAUGGACCCGCGUCGCAUUAGCUAGUUGGUGAGGUAACGGCUCACCAAGGCAACGAUGCGUAGCCGACCUGAGAGGGUGAUCGGCCACACUGGGACUGAGACACGGCCCAGACUCCUACGGGAGGCAGCAGUAGGGAAUCUUCCGCAAUGGACGAAAGUCUGACGGAGCAACGCCGCGUGAGUGAUGAAGGCUUUCGGGUCGUAAAACUCUGUUGUUAGGGAAGAACAAGUGCUAGUUGAAUAAGCUGGCACCUUGACGGUACCUAACCAGAAAGCCACGGCUAACUACGUGCCAGCAGCCGCGGUAAUACGUAGGUGGCAAGCGUUAUCCGGAAUUAUUGGGCGUAAAGCGCGCGCACGUGGUUUCUUAAGUCUGAUGUGAAAGCCCACGGCUCAACCGUGGAGGGUCAUUGUAAACUGGGAGACUUGAGUGCAGAAGAG
This 600-nucleotide ribosomal RNA is filed under the name Bacillus sp. (in: firmicutes). RNAcentral's name for it is "bacterial SSU rRNA". It matches the Rfam family "Bacterial small subunit ribosomal RNA", at positions 73 to 656 of the family's 1533-position model. The record is from RNAcentral. Lineage: Bacteria; Bacillati; Bacillota; Bacilli; Caryophanales; Bacillaceae.